This 497-nucleotide ribosomal RNA is filed under the name uncultured bacterium. Its description in RNAcentral is "partial 16S ribosomal RNA". It matches the Rfam family "Bacterial small subunit ribosomal RNA", at positions 28 to 507 of the family's 1533-position model. The record is from RNAcentral.
GAUGAACGCUGGCGGCGUGCCUAAUACAUGCAAGUCGAGCGAACAGACGAGGAGCUUGCUCCUCUGACGUUAGCGGCGGACGGGUGAGUAACACGUGGAUAACCUACCUAUAAGACUGGGAUAACUUCGGGAAACCGGAGCUAAUACCGGAUAAUAUAUUGAACCGCAUGGUUCAAUAGUGAAAGACGGUUUUGCUGUCACUUAUAGAUGGAUCCGCGCCGCAUUAGCUAGUUGGUAAGGUAACGGCUUACCAAGGCAACGAUGCGUAGCCGACCUGAGAGGGUGGUCGGCCACACUGGAACGGAGACACGGUCCAGACUACUACGGGAGGCAGCAGUAGGGAAUCGUACGCAAUGGGCGAAAGCCUGACAGAGCAACGCCGCGUGAGUGAUGAAGGUCUUCGGAUCGUAAAACUCUGUUAUUAGGGAAAAACAAAUGUGUAAGUAACUAUGCACGUCUUGACGGUACCUAAUCAGAAAGCCACGGCUAACUACGUG